AGCAGCCGCGGUAAUUCCAGCUCCAAUAGCGUAUAUUAAAGUUGUUGCAGUUAAAAAGCUCGUAGUUGAAUUUCGGGGUCAGUAGGCUGGUCGUGCCAAUGGUAUGUACUGGCUUUACUGAUUCCUCCUUCUUGAAGAACUGUAAUGCCAUUAAUUUGGUGUUGCAGGGAAUCAGGACUGUUACUUUGAAAAAAUUAGAGUGUUUAAAGCAGGCUU
RNAcentral lists this ribosomal RNA (216 nucleotides) under uncultured Glomus. RNAcentral describes it as "partial small subunit ribosomal RNA". It matches the Rfam family "Eukaryotic small subunit ribosomal RNA", at positions 569 to 787 of the family's 1831-position model. The record is from RNAcentral. Lineage: Eukaryota; Fungi; Glomeromycota; Glomeromycetes; Glomerales; Glomeraceae.